UGCUCACCUCGUUCCUCAGGGGCCACCUGGACAGGUUCAGGUGGGCUGGAAGGGGAGGGGGGGUCUGGCAGCAUCUGCUUCGGCUGCUCUCGUGUCUCUGAAAGAACUGG
This is a long non-coding RNA of Melanotaenia boesemani (Boeseman's rainbowfish), 110 nucleotides long. RefSeq lists it as uncharacterized. The record is from RefSeq and is a predicted model, not a curated record. NCBI's taxonomy places the organism in Eukaryota, Metazoa, Chordata, Actinopteri, Atheriniformes, Melanotaeniidae. The transcript has 3 exons.